CACUCCUACGGGAGGCAGCAGUGGGGAAUUUUGGACAAUGGGGGCAACCCUGAUCCAGCAAUGCCGCGUGAGUGAAGAAGGCCUUCGGGUUGUAAAGCUCUUUUGUCAGGGAAGAAACGGUGGUGGCGAAUAACUACUACUAAUGACGGUACCUGAAGAAUAAGCACCGGCUAACUACGUGCCAGCAGCCGCGGUAAUACGUAGGGUGCAAGCGUUAAUCGGAAUUACUGGGCGUAAAGCGUGCGCAGGCGGUUGUGUAAGUCAGAUGUGAAAUCCCCGGGCUCAACCUGGGAAUUGCAUUUGAGACUGCACGGCUAGAGUGUGUCAGAGGGGGGUAGAAUUCCACGUGUAGCAGUGAAAUGCGUAGAUAUGUGGAGGAAUACCGAUGGCGAAGGCAGCCCCCUGGGAUAACACUGACGCUCAUGCACGAAAGCGUGGGGAGCAAACAGGAUUAGAAACCCGGGGUAGUCCC
This 472-nucleotide ribosomal RNA is filed under the name uncultured organism. RNAcentral describes it as "partial 16S ribosomal RNA". It matches the Rfam family "Bacterial small subunit ribosomal RNA", at positions 334 to 797 of the family's 1533-position model. The record is from RNAcentral.